UCAAGCACAGCUCAUAUAUUAGAUCAUGAACCUUACAUGAUAUAAUUUUUGUUUCAUCUCGAUUUUUCUUGCAGACGAGGACUAGACAUCUAUUGACAAGAUCUUGCAAACACUUCUCAGCCUCUCCUUCCAAGUCUUUUUCUGAAUUCAGGAACCCCUCAGCCAUCCAUAACCUCAUCAAAUGCUUCACUGGAAUCUCAGUGUCUUCCGGAAAAGUUCCAAAAUACAGAAGACACGUUUUUAGAUCGCUGGUCAAGUGACUAUAACUCAACCCAAGCACACGUGAACAUUGCUCAUCCGGAUCAUUUGUGACAAAUGACGUGACAUCUUUGGCAACACUUUCCCAAUCUUCUAUUGCCCUUUUAGAUUUGAGAAGCCCAGCAACCACGACAAUAGUUAGUGGUAACCCGUGACAUUUCUCUGCGAUUUUCUUCCCAAUAGUUUCAAACUCCGAUGACAAUGCUUCAUUUGAAAAUGCUGCACUUUUAAAAAGGUUCCAACUCUCAUCUUGAUCCAUGAAGUUCAUCUGCAUAGAAAGAUUCUCUGUACCAGCAUAACAGGCUACUUCAUUGUUACGGGUAGUCAACAGUAUUCGACUCCCUGCAUUGUCUUCAGUUGGAAAGCAUUGUCUCACACCAUCCCACACUUCACAACUCCAGAUAUCAUCCAAGACAAUUAAGUACCUCUUUCUCUUUAAACUUUUCUGCAGCACGUCUGCUAGCUCUGCUUCACCCCUCGUCUUAACCCUGUCAUCCAUUUUGAUCGUCGAUCGCAAAAGGCCCAGCAAAAUUUCCUUUCUGUCGUGCUGUUGAGAUACUGUAGCCCAGGCAUGAACAUCAAAACGGCGUAGAACUGAUUCAUUAUUGUAAACUUCUUUCGCUAAGGUUGUUUUACCUAUGCCUCCCAUCCCGACAAUCGGGAUGACUUUGGGUUCACCAGAGUAGCUUGCAGUCAGAUCUUCUAACAACCGCUCCUUUUGAUCAUCACGUCCAACCAUACUGUUGUUAACAUUUAGAAUAUUGUUUGUUGAACUUGAAAAAUCUUGAACCGUUGAUUCCUUUGAUGCUUGUUUUUCUUUAUCUUGAAUCUUUGUUGACUCUUUCCAGAUACGAUCAAUGUCCUUUGCUGCUUGUUGCAGGAUAUCAGAAAGCCUCUCAUGUGCCUUUACUCUCAUGUGCCUUUUCAAUACAACUUCAGUUACUCUUAGUUGAAUUGUCUGUUCAACAAUAUUUGCAACUUCUUUUAUCUGCACUUCCAAAGCUGUCAGUUCCCUAGAAACAUUGUUUUUCUCAAAGUUCUUGAGAAAUACUUCCAGGGAACUAAUCUUUUCAUGAAGAGCAGAAAAGUCUUCUCUGUGAUCACAGGAUACAGAUCGCAUCGGUGAAUUGGAUGACAAGAGAGAUUCUAUUGUUCUCAGAAGAGAAGCCACAUUUGCAUGAGCCAUAUCUACUAUAUUCACGUUUGCCUUUGUGAUUAUGUCCUGAAAGCUGCAGGUUGCAAGAGGUCAAUGGUAUUAUAGAUAUCGUGAUACCAUUCUUUCGUGAAUAUCUGUCUAUAUCUAUCGGAUCGAUAAUCUAUCUGUCCAUAUAUUGGUAGGAUCGAUAAUCAAUCUAUCUAUAUUCGGUCAGAUCAAUAAUCUAUCUGUUCGUGUGAAUCAGGUUUUUGAUUAAUUUGUAAUUUUUAAAAGAUUUUGGUGGGAGGGUUUUCUAAAAAUAAAUUCUUGAUAGUUGGUGAUUUGUGGACUAAUUUAUAACUUUUAAUUCUUAAAAUUAAAUUUUAAAUCACAGAUAAAUUAAAAUACUCAAAAGGAUGAUAAACAAGCAUUCCAGUAAUAAAAUGACAAGGUCAAUAACCUUUUAGUGGCAAAUAAAGGUUAAAAGGACUGCAAACUAAAAGCUUGUACUGCAGCAAAUACAAUGACAAGAAAAUAGAAGAAAUUAAACACAAAUAUGAAUAACAAUCAACAAAUGAAUGAAGCAAGAAAAAUGGCGGACCCAUAUAGCCGUGGGUAAUCAUGUUUGUAGGGUGUACCAACUAGUAAAGGAAAGAGUUGAGUCAUGAUUUAAAAGAAUGUUUAGAAACUCCUGAGUUGUGACCAUGCGUAUUUACUUAUAUUCUAUUAGAUUGAUUUCGAAUUGCUUUCAAUUAUCUUACAUGAAUUAUACGUUAUUUUUGGUUGUUCUACAUACCAAUACUUUUCAAGUAUUGACCCCCUAUAUUUCAGGUUCUGAGCCACAGUCUCAGAGUCCAGCUAAACAGUAGAUUAUUUCUAGAUAAUCAGAGUUGGUGAGCCUUCCUUACUUCGGACGGCAUCUUUCCCAUAUGUUGAUUCCUUUUAAGUUUCGUGGUCCGACCGGGGGGCCUUGUCCCGAUUUAGAAAGACUAGUAUGUUCAGUUUAGUUGAGGCUUCGUAGAUUUGUUUUGAUUGAAUUUGGGUUUUAUUGUGGAUUGUUGUCAUGACAUAUUAAGUUUGAUUAUGGAUCCUCUUGUUUUCAGUUUACCUUCUGCAUUUUUAUUCCAUACCUAUUAUGCUUAUGAUCACAUGCUAAGGGUCUCUCGGGCAUUCGUGGUUCGGGAUUCUUGUCACGGUCAGGGCCUCGGUACGGGUCGUGACACCGAGGUUAUAGAAUAUAUCCUAUCAGGAUAAAAAUUCUACCGAACAACAAACACACUCAAUGGUAGAUGAUCAUACACGAGUUUUGUAAGAAAUAACUACAAAUUUUCGUACCAAGAUCUAAGGAAAAAUAAAAUAUUUAUAACCAAAUGGUGUUUCUUCAACUUUCUCCUUUUUGAAGCUAAUAUUUUAUUUCUAAAUGUAACGUCUUCUCCCAAAUUGUUACUUCUUUAAUUUUAUUUCUGCUCUUCUUUAAUUUUAGUACCAUGUCUUUCAAAAGAAAUUUAUUAAUAUACAUACAUAUAUAUAUAUAUAUAUAUACAAACAUACACACAUAUAUAUAUAAGGGAUGGGGAUCCUUAUCGAUCUCUUUAUAUAUAUAUAUAUAUAUAUAUAUAUAAAAAAUAUAUAUAUAUAUAUAUCGGUCGGAUAAAAAGAGAUCGAUGAUUAAUCUGUUGGACUAAUUACGAUAAUCGGCCAGUUAUUGAAUAACAUAGAAGACCAAUGUAUAAUAACGAUUGCAUCGAUAAUCGAUCUAUUCGUGUAUCGAUCGAAUCAAUAAUCGAUCUGUCCACAUAUCAGUCGGAUCAAUAAUCGAUCUAUCUAUAUCAAUCGGAUCAAUUUAUCUAUAUCGGUCGGAUCGAUAAUUGAUCUAUAUCCAUAUAUCGGCCGGAUCAAUAAUCGAUCUGUCCAUAUAUGAGUCGGAUCGAUAAUCCAUCUAUUUAUAUCGUUAGGAUCGAUAAUCGAUCUCUCCGAGCAUAAAUUAUGACAUACAAGGAUGAUAUACAAACAUUCCAAUAAUAAAAUGACAAGGUCAACUAACCUCUUCGUGGCAGAUAAAGGUUAAAAGGACUGCAAACUAAAUGCUUGUACUGAAACAAAUACAAUGACAAUAUAAUAAAAGAAAUUAAACACAAAUAUGAAUAACAAUCAACAAAGGAAUGAAGCAAGAAAGAUAUAUUUAUAUAGUAUAGUAACCAAGAAAAAGGAUCUGAGAAGAGGCAGAAAAAUGGCAUACCAAUAAAGGGCUGCAAGUAAUUAUGUAUAGGCAAUCAGAGUUACCAAGCAAAUUCUAUAUAAAGAAGAAAUGAGUUGACUUCAUAAUUUUUUUUUAUUUUUUUUUAAAGACUUCAUAAAAUGGGUAUAUAAUAUUAAUAUAAAACAUGGGUGUUAGUAUAUAUUAUACUGAACCAAGUUGGUUACUCUUAACUGGCAUUGUAGUUUCCCAGAAGAAAAUGACAGUCCAAUGUACUGGUGGGGUGUGGAGAAGGGUCGAACCAUAAGGGUCUACUGUAUCCAGUCUUACCUUGCAUUUCUGCCGGAGGUUGUUUUUAUGUAUUGAACUCGUGCUUUUCUCAUCACGUGGUAACAACUUUACCAGUUACUCCAAGGCUCUAAAAAGUGAAAAAAAAAAAAAUUAAUUCAAUACAUGGAAAGAAAGAUUAAUUCAAUACAUGGAAAGAAAGAGUUGACUUCAUAAAAUGGAGAAGGGUCGGACCAUAACGUAUGUUGCACGCAGUAUUAUCUUGCUUUUCUGCCAGAGGUUGUUUCCACGACUUGAAUUUUUGGCCUCCUAAUUACAUGACAACAACUUUCCUGGUUGCUUUGAUGCUCCAACAUACAAGGAAAGAAAGAGUUGACUUCAUUAGAAAAAUGUGUUCAAUCUCGGGAAGAACAUUAAUCUUUUUCAUUUGAGUGUUGUACAAUAUAAUAUAAGAAACCAUGUUAGGUGGCAACCACUGAAUUACUUAAUAGCUGAUCAUUGGAAAUUCUGAGAUCGCAUUAGCUUAGAUCACUGAUUAUUUAAUCAAAUACACCUUUUCAAAAUUCCGAAAUACAGAAGACAUGCUUUUAGGUCACUUGUCGAGUAAUUCUAACUCAACUACUCGAGCACAUGUGAACAUUAUUCAUCCGGAUCAUUUGUGACCGAUGACUUUGGAAACAUUUCUCCGAUAUUUUAUUGUUCCUUUAGAUUCGACAAUCCCAGCCAAUAGUUAGUGGUGACGCUUCCCUUAUGAUCUUGAAUCUUUUUCGGCUCUUCUUGGACACGGUCAAUGUCCUUUGCUACUUACUUGUUGCACGCUCUCACAAAGUUCCUCAUGUGCUUUUCCUCUCUGCGGUUCAUCUUCUGCUAUCAUAGCUUCUCGUAGUCCAAAUUCAAUUGUCUUGAGCGAUAUUUGCAAAAUCUUUUCUCCAGGCUUCCAAAUCUGUUAUUUCCCCAUAAUCACUGAUUUGUUUCUCAGUGUUCUUGAGAAACAAAUCAGUGAUUAUGAGGUACAAUUAGAAGGGGAUCUCUGGAAUAAACGGAUAAAACAACAUCUUACAGAAUUCAAGGUAAAGCUGCGUACGAUAAGCCCUAGUCGUUCGGUCCUUUGCGGGAGCUUUAAUGCACCGAACUAUUAUUUUUUAAAGGCACGAUACAUAAACAUGCCUUUUUAACUUGGAAUCAAAUGACAUCUAUGACUUCAAAUUUUGGGUGUGCACAAGUAGACAUUUAAACUUGUAUAAAAUUGAACAAGUAGAUACAUAUACCCUAUGUGGCAAAUUCCAGAAUUUUCACUUAUGAAGUUGAAGAAUAAAAAAGUAGUGCCUAUAAUUUGAACUUGGAACUACUAACAUAAAUUUGAAACCUCUAAACUACUUAGUCAACCUCUUGUCUCGUGGUCAGGAGAUUUGCAUAUAAUGUUAUUUUAGGUGCUUAAAAAUAAGCGAAUCCAAACACUCCCUAAGUAACGCCUAGGGAAGUGUGACCAAGGAAAAUGGAAAUACUAGAAUAUAUUAUUAUAAAACAUUCACGUGAUUGCAGCCCCAUGUGCCAUGUUUUAAUGUUUCACUAACUUAAUUUAUGCAACCCACUUGUGCCAUGUUAUAGUGUUUCAUUAUUUUUAAAUAUAAUUUAUAAUAUAUUACAAUAAUUUUUUAUUACUGUCCAAUAUUUUCAUGGGACAGUUACAACUUACGAACAACAUGACUUUUGAUAUGAAGGUGUAGAGGACGCGGAUUAGGGUAGAUGGAUAGUAGGUAGGAAUACGUUCGUAAUAGUAGGGAAGAGUGCUUUGUUUGUAUCUGUGCCUAUAAUUUCUUGUAGCCUGUUGUUCGUGGUAUUUUGGUGAUGUCUAUGAUUUCAUCUAGUUAAUUUAUAGCAUUGCUUUGUGGAUGUCUUACUUCCAGUGGCGGAUCUUGGAUUAAGUGGUCGUGGGUGCCCGAGAGAUCCGACCACAGUUAUUGACGCUGAAAGCUUUAAAGUUUCGUUGAAAAUUAAAGCACCCUAUCUUCUUGAUUUAUUGAGUGCUUUUGUAAGUUUUAUACCAAUUUUAAUACAUUUUUUUAUAUAAUUAUAUCUAAUUCGCAUCGAAUUUAACAAGUGCCGGAGUACCCAAAAAUUAGCCUUAGGUCUGCCUCCGCUUGUUUCCUUACUAUCUAGCCAUGUGAUAUCUCUUUGUGUUGUAUUCUUUUGUGUUUUUUUGUUUGUUAUACUCUUAUAUGUCCUUAGUCGGGGGUCUAUUGGAAGCAAUCUCUUUACUUCAUCUAAGGUAGUUGUAUGGACUGCGUACACUUCACCCUCCCCAGACCCCAUUUUGUGGGAAUACAUUGGGUAUGUAGUGAGGCCUGGAAAGGGUAAAGUGUACACAGACCUUAUCACUACCUUGUGGAGGUAGAGAGGCUGUUUUCGAAAGUAUUGGAAAAGACGAGAAAAUUUGUACAUGUCUAAAUCCCUGAUAAACAAAUUUUUUGAGAAAAGUGUUGUAUUCCGUUCAUAUGAGUGAAGCUGAAAUUAGUUCCGAUGAUUGACAAACAGCUACAAAAGUCUACAAAUCAAAAAUCUGAUGUAACAACUCAAAUUUCUCAACAAAACUGUAGCGGAGACUACAAGAUAAUAGUGAAAAAUACAAAGAAGAACGUAAGUAGAAGGAGAUGAGAGGAUAGCAGACUAAGCAAAGCUUCAACAUAAUUGCAUAACCCCUUCAAUAGGGACUGCCUCCUUUUAACGUGCUUGCUUAACCCAGAUCUCAGUGGAAAUCCACUCAGGCCCAAGUCCAUCGUUUACUGUGUUAUUACUUGUGUUGUCGACAAAUCCCAUAUCGCGGUUCAUAACAUCUGGAAUCUUCAAUCCUUAGCAAAUAUCAGUCGGAAUCAGAAUCACUUCGGCUAAGUUCACAUUCAGCUGUAGCAAGAAGAACAAAAAGGGUCAACUAUAAACUUCAAAAUUGUUUGAAACUUCAAAGGCAAUUAUUGUACUCACCUGGAUCGUUGUAAGAACGAACCUCCACAGCUUUUUUUCCUAGGUAUUCUUUCUCUUCUUGAAUUCGCGCAGCAGAAGUCUCGAGUUUUGCACUACAGUUCUGUAACUCCAUUAGUUAUCGCGAGUAAAUAUCUGCAAACUCAAUAGGGAUCUCCUCCAAAUGAAGGCAAUGUCUGAUCACCAGAUGCUCAAGAGCAGGAAAAUGAUCAUCUGUGGCUUUCCAGUACUCUAGAUUUGUACCUUCAAUUAUCAAAAACUUCAACCUACGAAAUCCUCCUUCAAUUGGAUGCCAUUCUAGGCCACGACAAGCAUUUGAUUUCAGCUUCAGCACCUCGAGGUUAGGCCAUUGACCUAUGAUGUUCAAGUCCUCCCAUACUAGACGAGUUCCAACCAGCUUUAACUCUUGAGCUUUGUUGGAAAACGUGUUGCACUAGGUUCACAAAUUGUAGAUUUGUGAUCUUGAACUCCAGUGACUUACGUGAUAACGAUCAACUUUAAUACUCAAUGUUUCUAGCUGAUGCAGAUCAACAAUUUCACGCAAGUCCAUAACUUCUUCACGCAUGUCAGUCAUAGACGUGUCCCCGAAUACAUAAUUUCUUAAUGUUUUGAAACCUGGAAAGGACUUUCUUAGUGCAAUAAUAAGGAAGCAUGCCCGAAACAGUCUGUAUGUUUGACGAUUUGAAAUGUUGGAACUAUAUUUUUUCUGGAGAGCUAAAAUGCUUAUAUUACAUCUCAACAAACAAUAAUUUUCUAAUUCAAGAAAUGAGUUGCAAAUAUCGAUGUAUAAUUUCAUAGACUCUAUAAUCGAGUCAUUAUUUAUCUCACUUACCUCGAUAAUAUAUCAAAAAGAUGAUUGUUCACAAUAAAAAAAUGCUUAUCUCUACUAGUUAUUCUGAGCAGCUAACAACCAAAGAUCUUAAUUAUCAUCAUGUUCUGCAGCAUCAGCAUCAGAAUCUUCAUCUUCUGCAACAUCAACAUUUGAAUUUUCUUCUUCAUCAUCAUCGCCCUUGGCAUCAUCACCAUUAUGAUGUAAUCAUAAUAGUACCACUGUAUGACGUGACUUGUGAAAAUGAGAAACUGUGUGUAACCUUGAUAAAUAUAUACUUACCUCGAUAAAAUUAAUACAAAGUAUUGCACUUUUUGAUAUUUCAAUUAUUUCAUAAAAGAGUUGAAUCCAAGUAAACCUCAUUUUACUAGAAUUUAUCCAAUCAAUACCUUAAAAUUCAUGUGCAAAUGACAACAAAGAGAGCAAGCAUCUACUCUUCUUUUUUCAUUUUAUUUUUAUUGUAAUUUAAUGGCAGGGUUGGACAUUAGCCCAUUUGUUCGUUCAACCCAUCUUAACCUGCCCAACUUCAGCCCAAACAACCCAUUUGCCACCUCUAUGAGUAACAAUUAGACCAAAACUGCUCAAAAAUAUAUUUAAGGGGCCAUUUUGAAUUACCCUCAAAUAUAAGGGAUAUUCUUGUUAAUUUCUCUUAUAUUUUAAGUAGGAUUUUAACCAAAUUUUGUCAAAAUUAUUUUUGUGAAAGAAUACGGGGCAAAGCUAAAUAACUUUUGUGCAUGACUUGACUUGUGGAAAUGAGAAAGAGAGUGUGACCUGAUAAAUACAUAUACUUACAUGGAUUGGAGAUACAAACAUCCAAGUGGUCGUUUCCGAGGUCUUUUUGUUCUUUUUUAAUUCGUGCUGCAGAUUCCCCAAGUUCGGGAAGACACCUUGUUAACUCAAUCAGUUGUAGUGUGUGGAUAUCUGCAAACUCGAUGGGUAUCUCUUUCAAAUGAUAGCAACCUCUGAGCACAAGACGCUCAAGGACAGGAAAUUUGUCUUUUGUGGCUUUCCAAUACUUGAGGCGAUUAUCUUCAAUUAGCAAAAGCUUCAAUCGAGUAAAUCCCUUAACAUUUGGAUGCCAUUCUUCGCCAUCACAAGCAUCAUCCAUCAGCUUCAGCACCUCAAGGUUAGGCAACUCAGCUAUGAUGUUCAUGUACGACCAAUCUAGAUAAGUACUUUCCAAAUUCAACUUCUUGAGCGUUGCUGGAAAAGCUUUUGCACUGGUCACUGGCAAAAGGAUGCAAGAACAUCUUAUAAAACUCAAUAUUUCAAGUUGCUGCAGAUAGACAAGAUUGUUGUGAAGCCCAGAGUCCGAAAGAUUGUUUCCACGGAAUCCUAAUUUUUUACCAUUCUGAAUCCUUGAAAAAACCAACUUCGUGCAACAACAGGAAGAUAAGUAAGAAGUAGUUUGUAUGUUUGAAGAACCCACGUGACUCCCUUUGUCAAUAGAUACGGUUAGGGGAUUUUGCCGAUAAGAUGAGAUCACUUUGAGAUGCCUUAAUUGCAUUAGUCCCCAAAUUUCCUCAGGAAGAGUUAUAACUAAUCCAGUAGGCCCUUUAACAAUGAAUGUCUGCAGAUUCCAUAACCUACAAAUUUCUGAAGGUAUGUCUAAAUUCUUAAGGAGUUGCAAUGAUAGGUACCUCAGCCAGAUGAUGCUUAGUAUCUGUAGAGGGAAACUAUCAAUCCUCACGUGACUAACAUCCAAGACUUUGAGUAAUUUGAAAUGAGUAAGCUCUGAUUUGAGAAUAAGCUCUGAUUUGAGAAUAAGAGUUGAAAUGCCACGAUCAUAAAAGAAAAUAGAACGGGUUUGUUUCAAAAGAUCAUUGUUGUCCUGAUCUCUCAACUGACGAUGUACAGGGGUAAGAAGAGCCCUAUAAAAACCACCGCCAAAAUUAAACAUUUCCACAGGAGUCCAGCAUUUAAAGGGAUUCAUUUUAUGCAUACUGAGAGAUUUAGCUUUUCUUGCAUGUAAAUGUUCAAACACAAUCAAAUACAUUCUACUAAGAGAAUGGCAUCCUGAAGAAACAUGAGCUGGCUCACAAUCAUCUGGUUUUUCAAAAACAACGUCGUUCAUGGUAAAAACAUUUCCCCUUUGAAUUUCUCUCGAGCACAGGUUGUAUAUUAGAUCAUGAACCUUACAUGAUCUCGACUUCUCUUGCUGACGAGAACUAGACAUCUGUCGACAAGAUCUUGUAAACACUUCUCAGCCUCUCCUUCCAAGUCUUUUUCUGAAUUCAGGAACCCCUCAGCCAUCCAUAACCUCAUCAAAUGCUUCACUGGAAUCUCAGUGUCUUCCGGAAAAGUUCCAAAAUACAGAAGACACGUUUUUAGAUCACUGGUAAAGUGACUAUAACUCAACCCAAGCACACGUGAACAUUGCUCAUCCGGAUUAUUUGUGACAAAUGACGUGACAUCUUUGGCAACACUUUCCCAAUCUUCUAUUGCCCUUUUAGAUUUGAGAAGUCCAGCAACCACGACAAUAGUUAGUGGUAACCCGUGACAUUCAUCUGCGAUUUGCUUCCCAACAGUCUCGAACUCAUAUGGUAAUGCUUCACUUGAAAAUGCUGCACUUUUGAAAAAACUCCAACUCUCAUCUUGAUCCAUAAAGUUCAUCCACAAAGAAAGAUUCUCUGUAUCAGCAUAA
RNAcentral lists this long non-coding RNA (10327 nucleotides) under Capsicum annuum. RNAcentral's name for it is "long non-coding RNA (CANN_LNC013359)". Lineage: Eukaryota; Viridiplantae; Streptophyta; Magnoliopsida; Solanales; Solanaceae. The record is from RNAcentral.